Corythoichthys intestinalis (scribbled pipefish) is the source of this 486-nucleotide long non-coding RNA. RefSeq lists it as uncharacterized. The record is from RefSeq and is a predicted model, not a curated record. Lineage: Eukaryota; Metazoa; Chordata; Actinopteri; Syngnathiformes; Syngnathidae. The transcript is spliced from 3 exons.
CAGGAUUGGCACCUACCUAAAUUGUGAGCCGCUACUGUUUGGCCCGGCGGCUGCUGAACCUUGGUCCGAAUGAUCCUGCAGGAGGAGAGAGGAGACAUUAGUGUGUGUGAAGUGGUCAUUUGUGCGUGUGAAAGAGAGAGGGAGGCAUCAAGGACAUGAGAACAUGAGCGUCGUGGGAGCCACGCUGUGUGUAAGCAUACGAAACGAGUCGGGAUUUUCUCUUGGAAUUGGCUUUGUAAAGGUGAUGGGGAAAGUAUUUGGACAGAAGGAGAAAGGAAGGUGAAAAGGAGAAAUUAAAGUUGGUAAAGAGAGGAGGAACCUGAAGGAAUACUACCCAGGCCAGAGGUUCCAUACCUGCCCAGUAUCUUGCUGACACACCCAUGGCUGACGCGUAGCUGGCGGGAGAUGUCACAGGGACGCACGCCUGUGUGGGCAAGUUCAACUAUUCGCUGUCGCACAACAUCUGGAAGAGGUCGGCCAUUUACG